AUGGAAGGCCCCCAAAGGACAGCUUCCCUCUUCCUCCUGCUACUCUGGCUCCCAGAUACCACCGGAGAAAUUGUGUUGACGCAGUCUCCAGCCACGCUGUCUUUGUCUCCAGGAGAAAGAGCCACCCUCUCCUGCAGGGCCAGUCAGAGUGUCAGCAGCAGCUUAGCCUGGUACCAGCAGAAACCUGGGCAGGCUCCCAGGCUCCUCAUCUAUGGUGCAUCCAGCAGGGCCACUGGCAUCCCAGACAGGUUCAGUGGCAGUGGGUCUGGGACAGAGUUCACUCUCACCAUCAGCAGCCUGGAGCCUGAAGAUUUUGCUGUUUAUUAUUGUCAGCAGUAUAGUAACUGGCCUCACACACCCCCUCCCUGUGUCCCAAGUGAGAGGGUCACUGUCACCUGCAGGGCUGGCUGGACUAUGAACAGCAUCCUAGUCUGGCACCAGUGUAAAUCAGGCCUUACUCUGAGCUCCCGCUGGCUCCUGCUGCCCCGCAGGACGUGA
Cercocebus atys (sooty mangabey) is the source of this 498-nucleotide non-coding RNA. The record is from the annotation of a RefSeq genome assembly. Lineage: Eukaryota; Metazoa; Chordata; Mammalia; Primates; Cercopithecidae.